RNAcentral lists this ribosomal RNA (798 nucleotides) under Triticum aestivum (bread wheat). Its description in RNAcentral is "partial small subunit ribosomal RNA". The record is from RNAcentral. Lineage: Eukaryota; Viridiplantae; Streptophyta; Magnoliopsida; Poales; Poaceae.
AUGCCGGCCACCAUGCCGCUAACCUUGUCCCCGGCCCGCCUCCUCCUCCUCCACCGCGGCCGCCAAGCCAAGGUCCAGCAGCCGCGCUCCCUCGCGCGGCUCCGCUGCGCCCCCGACGAGGUCGCGGCCACGACCGCCGAGCAGCAGCAGGGGGAGGAGGAGGAGCUGGUGCUCCUCGCCUCCUACCGCACCGCCUUCAACGAGGUCAUCAUGGUCAUCGACUCGCCCUCCAACCGCUACCUCGUCCUCGACCCCACCCAGAACAUCCACAGCAUUCUCCCCAAGAAGAGCGCCUGGACCAAUUCCUACUGGGAUGAGUGUGUCAGCCUACCUACCGUUGUUCCACGCGGCCCUGUUGCACUUCUAGGUUUGGGUGCUGGGACAGCAGCACACAUGAUGCUAGAAGUUUGGCCUUGGAUAGAACUUAUCGGAUGGGAGAUUGAUCCGACGGUAAUUGAAUUGUCGAGGGAUUAUUUUGGUAUGUCCACUUUAGAGAAGACCACGGAACUAGGUGGUUCACUUUCAGUGCAUAUUGGCGAUGCACUUUCCCCAUCGGCUACAGUCGAAGGAGGAUUUGCUGGUAUUGUUGUUGAUUUAUUUGCUGAUGGAAAAGUCUUACCUCAGCUACAGGAAGUUGAAACUUGGUUAGAGAUUGCGAAGAAGCUGAUGCCCGAUGGUCGAAUCAUGGUCAACUGCGGCGCUGGAGAUACCGCCGUAUCUCUUGCUGCCGACGGGGAUGUUUCCUCCUGGCUUCAGAAUCCCACAAUCAAGGCUCUAUGCUCUGCAUUUCCAGGCUAA